GAAAAUAUGGAGGUAGAGCACUGAAUGGACUAGGGGCCAAAAAGGUUACCGAACCCUAUCAAACUCCGAAUGCCAUAUUGAGAACCCUGGGAGUCAGACUACGAGUGAUAAGAUCCGUGGUCAAAAGGGAAACAGCCCAGACCGACAGCUAAGGUCCCAAAGAGCAUGUUAAGUGGAAAAGGAAGUAGGAUUUCCAAGACAACCAGGAUGUUGGCUUAGAAGCAGCCAUACAUUCAAAGAGUGCGUAAUAGCUCACUGGUCGAGAAAUCCCGCGCCGAAAAUAAACGGGGCUAAAACAUGCCACCGAAGCUACGGAUUCGAAAGAAUGGUAGGGGAGCGUACUGUACAGGGGGAAGGAUAAGCGGAAGCGAAUCUGGACAGUACAGUAGAGAGAAUGCCGGUAUAAGUAACGAGAGUAAGGCGAGAAACCUUACCGUCGAAAGCCUAAGGUUUCCUGGGGAAGGAUAAUCCGCCCAGGGUAAGUCGGGACCUAAGCCGAGGCGAAAGCGUAGGCGAUGGACAACCGGUAAUAAAUCCGGUACCACCGAAAUCCGUCAUAAGAGAAGCAAGGACGCAGCGAGAUAAGAAAAGCGUGCGGUUGGUAGAGCACGUCCAAGCAGCGACGAAAAGAGCUUUGAGUGAAGUACCAAAGCUCAUAAGAGCUGUGACGGGGAGCCGCAAGGCGAAGUUUCGAAGGGGCUGCCAAGAAAAGUUGCUAUCGAGGAUAGAGGUGCCCGUACCAGAAACCGACACAGGUAGGCGAGGAGAGAAUCCAAAGACGAGCGGGAGAACCCUCAUUAAGGAACUCGGCAAAAAGACUCCGUAACUUCGGGAGAAGGAGUGCCGAAAGGCCGCAGAGAAGAGGCCCAAGCGACUGUUUACCAAAAACACAGGUUUCUGCUAAGUCGAAAGACGAAGUAUAGGAGCUGACGCCUGCCCGGUGCUGGAAGGUUAAGGGGAAGUGU
This 965-nucleotide ribosomal RNA is filed under the name Thermoanaerobacterium thermosaccharolyticum. RNAcentral's name for it is "bacterial LSU rRNA". It matches the Rfam family "Bacterial large subunit ribosomal RNA", at positions 890 to 1890 of the family's 2925-position model. Lineage: Bacteria; Bacillati; Bacillota; Clostridia; Thermoanaerobacterales; Thermoanaerobacteraceae. The record is from RNAcentral.